GAGCUAUGUACAGCUGAACGCUGAAUAAACUGAAAACACACUGUGAAAGGGUUAAAGUUCUGCGUCAAAAACACGGACAACUACCAUUUAGUGUCUAUUUGACACUAAAUGGUACCAGGAUUUACUAAGUGAACAUCAUAGUGUAUUGAAGAAGACUUGAAACUAGCAAUUGAGACCAUAAAGUCAUUUUCUCAUAGACUUCUAUACAAUCAGACUUCUUUUUGCAACCAGAGGAGUCGCCCCCUGCUGGUUAUGAGAAAGAAUGCAGCACUUCCGUAUUGGCUUCACUUUUCAGACUCCGGAGUUGCCCACUGAUCUUUUCACAAUGAUCUACAAAAGCAACAAACCGUGGUUCAUUUUACAAACAAUGAAACCCUUCCUGUGAGCACCCGAGCAUCCUUCGAAGACAAAUUGAUCGUAUAACCUCCUUAAAGGCCAGCAGUUACAUCAGCAUCAGAUGCCGAGACAAUGAGCGACAGCUACGACGCAGACCUACAAUUUCAGCAGAUCUGCUGCAAUCGGGCCUUAUUUGGCAUCCCAGGGAAGAAAAAAAGGAAGGAAGGAGGCGCUGGCCAAAAUUCCACAUCAGGUUUUUAUCAAACCAAGACUGAUGUGGUGUCAGCAGCAGCAGCAGCAGCCUUUAAACGUCCUCUAUGAAAGCUAGAUAACAAUAUCUGGAGGCUAUCAGGUCAGCCAUUUUAAGGCCUGAAGUCUCUCCUUCAAGUA
Sebastes umbrosus (honeycomb rockfish) is the source of this 726-nucleotide long non-coding RNA. RefSeq lists it as uncharacterized. The record is from RefSeq and is a predicted model, not a curated record. NCBI's taxonomy places the organism in Eukaryota, Metazoa, Chordata, Actinopteri, Perciformes, Sebastidae. The transcript has 2 exons.